UGGGGAAUAUUGCGCAAUGGGCGAAAGCCUGGCGCAGCGACGCCGCGUGGGUGAUGAAGGCCUUCGGGUCGUAAAGCCCUGUCGGGAGGGACGAAACCUCGGUGACCUAAUACGUCACCGACCUGACGGUACCUCUUAAGGAAGCACCGGCUAACUCCGCGCCAGCAGCCGCGGUAAUACGGAGGGUGCGAGCGUUAUCCGGAUUUACUGGGCGUAAAGGGUGCGCAGGCGGUCUUGCAAGUCAGAUGUGAAAGCCCCGGGCUUAACCUGGGAAUUGCGUUUGAAACUACAAGACUAGAGUGCAGCAGAGGGGAGUGGAAUUCCAUGUGUAGCAGUGAAAUGCGUAGAGAUGUGGAAGAACACCGAUGGCGAAGGCAGCUCCCUGGGUUGACACUGACGCUCAUGCACGAAAGCGUGGGGAGCAAACA
Molecule: ribosomal RNA, 428 nt
Filed under: uncultured bacterium
Lineage: Bacteria
Description: bacterial SSU rRNA
Rfam family: Bacterial small subunit ribosomal RNA
Source: RNAcentral